RNAcentral lists this ribosomal RNA (451 nucleotides) under uncultured bacterium. RNAcentral's name for it is "bacterial SSU rRNA". It matches the Rfam family "Bacterial small subunit ribosomal RNA", at positions 30 to 483 of the family's 1533-position model. The record is from RNAcentral.
AUUGAACGCUGGCGGCAUGCUUUACACAUGCAAGUCGAACGGGCUUAGGGGCUUGCUCCUAAGUUAGUGGCGAACGGAUGAGUAAUACAUCGGAACGUACCGUGUAGUGGGGGAUAACGUAGCGAAAGUUACGCUAAUACCGCAUACGAUCUACGGAUGAAAGUGGGGGACCUUCGGGCCUCACGCUAUACGAGCGGCCGAUGUCUGAUUAGCUAGUUGGUGAGGUAAAGGCUCACCAAGGCAACGAUCAGUAGCGGGUCUGAGAGGAUGAUCCGCCACACUGGGACUGAGACACGGCCCAGACUCCUACGGGAGGCAGCAGUGGGGAAUUUUGGACAAUGGGCGAAAGCCUGAUCCAGCCAUGCCGCGUGUCUGAAGAAGGCCUUCGGUUGUAAGGACGUUUAGUCUAGGGAGGCGAAACUUAAGAGGUUAAGUAAACCUUUAGUAGGUU